GUUACCGUACCAAGAGCCCUUCUUGAGCCACCAGCCGGUGUGCAUAGGAAAUCUAGCGACUAGCGAGCUGCUAGUAUGAUCUAUGAUGCCUGUCCAUGUUCUCUGAAAGCAUGGAACAGAGCUGCGUUUCUGUCGAUCGACCUGUCUUGUUGUCUUGUAAAUACAGGGACUUUACUUGCUUGCUUAACAUACAUGCCUGUGUUUGAUUAUGUUUUUUUGCUUCGUCAAAGCUGUUUGGAUUAUUCGUCAAAUCAGGCAUGGAAAUUCGUGGAUAAACACUGGUGAGUCGGUUCAGACUUUUCAGAGGAUGCAUCGUUCAGGCAACGCAAGGCAAAGACGGCCAGCAGACGAGAGCCACAGACCGGGGUAGCCAAAAUUGACUGGGGAACAUCUACUAGCUUGGAUAUGCAUGCGCCAGGAGAAGCACUGGAGGAGCUGCUGCAAUAAUUCCACCCGAUUUCCAUGAUUUUUCCCACCUGAAGUUGCUGACACGGCAAACAGGAUAGAAGCAUCCGUCAGCUUUGCUUCCACGUCGCGCGCAGUAGCAGAAGGCAGGCCGACGUGUCCGCGUCAUGAAGAUAAUUGAGGCACUUGGGCGUUGAUUCACGAUUAACCGGUGAAGGAUGUUUCUAGAACCGGAUGAGUUGGAGGUCUCCAGGUUUGCGUCAUCCUUCCUUGGAUCCAAAGCGCACGGUCCAGAUUGAGGAGGGUGUGUUUUUUAUCAACUUCCGACCGAAAACAUGGUCCCACCUGCCUGUCAAACCUCGAAUUGCCGAAACCACAAUCUCGCUGAACCCUGGAAACCUGGCCCCCGGCGAUCGUGUUCAAGGUUGAGAGUCCAGAGCCGUCCCCAGCCCAGCAUCUCCCGAAUGCGGCGGACAUACCUUUGGGCCUGUUCCGCACGUCCAAAGCCCAAAGGUAUGGAAUGCUAUCGCUUUCGCGAUUUCCUUCCGUCGUGUUCCCGUUGUUCAGGCUGUGGGCUAUUAUUAUGGGUGCCUGUAGUCUGAACAGGCUUUGCUAUCCCAGAAGCGCUUGUUUUGUUCUAAUGCCUGUGCGCUACUUCCGGAUUUGUACCGGACCUUUACAGUAAAUGUACAUGUGCUGGGCCUACCGUGACGUUACAUAGUCCAAACGUGCGGCCCAUUUACCGGUAAGGCGGUAAUGCAGAUAGCAUUUGGUCCAGCUGGUAAAGGACAGGACUAGCGAGCGGCCGGCUGCUGGUUAAGCCUUGCGAGCCAACGCCCAAUAUGUAAAGGGUUUGGUCCACUCGAUCGACACGAAAAGAAAUAAAUAAGCAUGCGCAGUAAUCCCGCAUGCAAAGCCCA
Long non-coding RNA from Brachypodium distachyon (stiff brome), 1325 nucleotides. RefSeq lists it as uncharacterized. Lineage: Eukaryota; Viridiplantae; Streptophyta; Magnoliopsida; Poales; Poaceae. The transcript has 2 exons. The record is from RefSeq and is a predicted model, not a curated record.